Molecule: long non-coding RNA, 537 nt
Filed under: Sorghum bicolor (sorghum)
Lineage: Eukaryota; Viridiplantae; Streptophyta; Magnoliopsida; Poales; Poaceae
Description: long non-coding RNA (SBIC_LNC011927)
Source: RNAcentral
CUCAUUAGUAAUCAUGUUAUUGCAAGUUUAUCUCUAGUCUAUGCCUUGAUAGAUUUUACCCCUGUUUUCACUUUAGCCAUUUUCUUAAGCAAAAUAUAAAUAACGAUACUCGAAAUACUUUUCCUGGUGAAAUGCUACAAUGAGGUAUUUUAUCUAUGCGCUUGCGGAUAGAAUAGAUUAUUUUCUAGAGAGCCUCCAUAUUCAUAAAUACCUUUGUACACUCUGGCACCAUGCUGGGGAUGACAACCUAGUAUCCAAGUGGUGUUAGUAAGUGUCAACAUUCACCAUCAUAUAUCUACUAACUAAUACACCAACUAGACUAAAGUAGGGGUAAAUAAUCGAUGAUAGGAAUUAUGCAUAUAUGACACACACCAGAGAAUUCUUAUGAUCAAAGAGUAGAUAGCUAAAGUGAGAGGACAACGAGAAAGUUUAAGGUUCCUAAAUAGUUCUCUGUUACUAGGGUUCUAUAAUAAAUAAUUUAUGGUAGGUAAAGCAAUCACACAAUAACACUUCGGGACAUCAAAGCACUUAGCCACA